RNA transcript from Nannospalax galili (Upper Galilee mountains blind mole rat), 284 nucleotides. It is a transcript of the gene named costars family protein ABRACL pseudogene, with no coding region annotated. NCBI's taxonomy places the organism in Eukaryota, Metazoa, Chordata, Mammalia, Rodentia, Spalacidae. The transcript has a single exon. The record is from RefSeq and is a predicted model, not a curated record.
CCAGACACACGCGGCACCAGUUCCUCAUCAGAGAAGGAAACGGUCCAAGUCAGCAAUGAAUGUGGAUCAUGACGUUAACCUCCUAGUGGAGGAAACUCAUCGUUUGGGUUCGAAAAAUGCUGAUGGAAAGUUAAGCGUGAAAUUUGGGGUUCCCGUCCAAGACGACAGAUGUGCCAACCUCUUUGAAGCAUUGAUAGGAACUCUGAAAGCUGCAAAACAAAGGGAGAUUGUCACACACCCAGGAGAACUGCUUUUGCAAGGUGUUCAUGAUGAUGUUGACAUUG